This 4480-nucleotide long non-coding RNA is filed under the name Homo sapiens (human). RNAcentral describes it as "HSALNT0190818". The record is from RNAcentral. Lineage: Eukaryota; Metazoa; Chordata; Mammalia; Primates; Hominidae.
GAUGACACUUUAGUGAGAGAGAAUUUUAAAAAACAAACUAUUUAAUUCACAUGAGACAGUGUUAUUGGGACACAUGGGAUGGCCUAAGUCAAGCUGUUUGCAUGACUCCCCAAAGGUUAUCAAGUGUAGACUCCCAAAGAGCAUCUUAGAGGCCCAGUUGUCAUUAGCCCCCUCCCGAUGGCCUGGAAAGCUGAGAAGCAGCUGUGCUCUUUUUGCUUUGGCAGCAGAGUUAUGCCUGGAGCUGCACACACAGGUGACCCCUUGAGCAUGUGCUGAAGGAAUUAAGGUGCUCUGCUGUGAUUGGCAGGUGGCCAAGUCUCUAGCAGGGGAGGAGGAAGCAGAAAGAUUAGGUGAUCAGUUACACUUAUCUGAAAUACUCAUAAGCAUCCGGGAGAAAGGGGAGCAUUAAUACGAUAUGGAAGGUAUAAAUGGGAGUGAGUGAAGAGUUCAGUGUUUAGAGGGAGGUUUAGGUUGAAUAUUUGCGAUGGUUAAAUUAUGUAGGUUCUUGAAUUUUGCCCUGUCUUCUUCCUUUUUCUUAGCAGCUGAGAGAAAAUGGUGGGUACAGAGUAGGAGUGAAACGAAGAAUGUCUUUCUGGUAAAACAAACAAGAGAUUGUGGUUCCUAUGCUGAACUGAAACUCCUUUCCUUCACAAGGAUGUCACGUGGGAAGCCUGCAAAAUGCAACCUGAACCCAGGGUGAAGCAGAGGAUCUUCACUAAAAUGAGAGAAUGAAGCCAAAUGCACCAAAUGAAUCAAAAUGAGAGAAGUUCCCACCUGGACUCUGCAUGGUUAAAAGGAAAUCUGAUCCAAAAAGCAAAAACCUAUUCAACUCAACAUCUUUGUCUUCCUGAUGAGUAAGAACUCCUCUAUCAGUAAAAGCAUUGAUCGUUUGCUAUUUAAAUUGGAAAUAUUUUUAUCCCUUUUGUUGUUGGCUUUUAGUUCUGUUUAUUUUUUUUUUUUUUUUACUUAUUAAAGGAUUUUAUUUUUCUAUAAUAAGCUCUAACUAGUCUUGGCCUUUAUAGUUUCCACCUUUGCUUUUAUACAUAAAGAAGCAUUUGACGUCCAAUAUUGUAAGUUACUGAUCUAUAUUUCUUCUUAUUUUUUAGCUUGAAUCCAUUCUAUUUUUAAGCAUGACAUGCAAUAAUAACCUCAUUUUAUUUCAUUUUUCCAAGCUACCAAUCUCCCCAGGACCACUUGUUUUAUUCUUUCUUUCAAUAAUUUGAAAUGUAUCUUUAUCACAUGCUAAAUAUUUUUUAAACUUGGGUGUAGCAGAUUGUAUUACUAUGAUCUUGCCAAAUAUUCCAGAGGCCUUCUCUGUGGUAGUUCUCCUGCAAGAGGAUAAAACAUGUCCUGCUGAACUCAGGUGUGGCCAUAUAGCUUGUGUUAGCCAAUGGAAUUCAAGCAGGAAGGACAUAUGUCACUUAUGACCAGAAGCGUUAAGAGCCAGUGAGUGGUUUUCCAUGUUUCUUUUUCCUCUGUAACAAUACCACGAAUGUUUCCAAUAGAUGCUGCUCCAUUAGCCUAGGUCCCAGCAGGAAGGCAACGUGGAAGUGAGUUCAGCUGACCCAUGACAAAUAUAUAGCUUGGACAAAAUAUAGACCUUUGUUCCAGCAAACUGCUGAGAUUCGAGAGACUUUGUUCUCACAGCAUAACCUAGACUAUCCUGAUAAGGAUGUGUUUCUCGCCUCUCUCUUAUGUCUACUCUUGUUCUAGAAACACAGAGAUGAUUCUUAAAUGCUACACCUUACCCACCUAAGACUAAAAUAUGCAUAACCCCUAAUCUGAAAGUCUUUGGAAAACAAAUCAAAAAAUAAAUAUACUCAAAUCAUUCCUUGCAAGGGUUUCCAUGUUUGCUAUUUUCUUCCUACAUUCAGCCUUCCAGAAUGCAGAGUGGCAACCUGUAGGGAUUGAAAAGGAAGGAAGUACUUGGGAGGAAGUGGCAUUAAAACUGUCUUGAACACAUUCCAUUUAAGGAUUUUAGUGUGAUCCUUUUUCCACUAAGACAAGAGUCCUGGUAAUAGAAUGGCUUCUCAGGCUGUUGCCUGCAUCACCAUUACAACUAUGCCAUUCUCUCUCUGUCACUUCCUUGGUUUGGGCCUGACUCGGAGCUCCACGUCAAGUGACAAUAUUUGGUCACCGGAAGUGGUGUGGGAAAGUGAAGAAUGGAAUUUACCUAGGGAAAUGCUGAAAGGUAGUGAAGCAGGAAGCCAGUAAAAAAAAGUGCCAUAAUCCCAUUUCUUUCGCCUGUCAAUGCUGUUUAUUUCUCAUGCAUGCGAGCAUGGCUGGGCAGCCUGCUGCACCACAGUCCUUCUGUAAGGGAAAGCUCUCAAAGGUGGCAUUGUGAUUUAAAUGACACUGGGUCAGAAACGAUUAAAUGCAAAAGCCAGGAGGGAUUUUCAGAGGAAGCAUCUUCUAAAUGCUGUGCCUCCAUCUGGAGGUGACUUGUCCAGCCCCAAAAGGGCAGAGUGUGACUCCCUGCAACAGCAACUCCGAGACACGGCACUGAAACCCUGGAGAAGGUUCAGGGUUGCAUCUUCCCAACUUUGAAACUAUCCUCAUGGCCUUCCACUUAGCCAGUAAUAAGAAUGGAUGGAUUCUCAUUAGAAUCACAUUUGUAUGGACAAGACCUAAUUCUGCUCCUCUGCCCAAGUUUUGACCUUGAGCAGCAGCCAACAUUUGACUCGCUCUUGAGCUGGAAGCCAUAGCAAACUGUACUGUUUCCAACAGCAUUUCUACUCCAACUCCCCUCCACAACCACCUCCAUGGCUCAGCAGAGAUUCGCAGACAUAUAAAUCAGAGUUGGCUUAUUUUGCAGGGGGAUGGAGAACUGGACGUCGCCCAGAGAAGUUACACCCAGAACAAUUAGUCAUCAGCAACAAACAUUCCAUACAGCACAUCACAGAAGCAAGAACCUCCAAAGUCCAGUGCAGUUAAGAACAGAAGCAGCUGGAAAAAUAGAAAAAGUUGGUAAAGAGUCUACCACAAGGCCAAACUUUGAAGAGUGAAAUGAAGAAACUGAAAAUUCUGUGUAGCUGUCAUUGGAAGCCCUACUGUGAAAAAAGGUCACUCAAAAAUGAUAUUGGAUACAAGAAGAGAGCACCAGUGAAUCAGCUGAAGGAAAGCAGAAAAACACAAAAACUGGACCAAACCAAAGAUAUUUACAUCACGUCCUUAAUGGGAAGAAAUCCACUGCACAUGGUAGUGGUUAGAGAUUACUGUCACACUGAAGAUACUGGUGAGUAAACUUGAUAUGGUUCUCGCUCCAUAGCUUAGGUUCAAUCAUUCUGAGCUGAUAAAAAUAUUUUCUCUUCAUAAAUUCUCAAAUUAAGGCAUCCUUUCGGGCUUUUUCCAGACAAGUAUCUCAAUUAGGUGGACCCCACUGCCAAGUGAAGGCAGAAUUCACGUGCCCAGACUGGACAGCCCAGUUAAGCAGCAGUCCUUACAGAAUUGCAUCAUAACAAGGCUUAGGCCUGUCUGAGCAUGCUACAAGUUACACUUCACACCUAUAACCUCCUUUCAUCCUCACAAUGCCUUUGUAAGGCAAGUAGGGUAGAUAUUUUACAGAUAAGGAAACUGAGGCACAGUAAAGUCAGAGUUACAAAGCUGGCAAAUGACAAUGUUUUAUCAUGGAAACUGACUCUUGGGCCUUUUCUUCUAGCCCCUGCUGCCCUACUGGAAGACUUUUCCAGAAAGAUGCUGUGAAUACUUAUUGCUCAAGUCCACAAAGAAAGACCUGUCUUAAACACUUUGGAGGAUAGUUUCCUUGAUUCUCUGGCAUCUGACCUGAGUCCAGAGGUGGUCCCUCCACAGUCAAAUCUAAAUUGUGAGAUCUUACUGGAUCCUUGCCAUGGAUGAUGGAUCACCUGACCAUUGGGUGGUCAUCUGCCCCAAUUUAACCCAUAUCACAAAUAAAAAAAAAUACUGAGAAAUAGAGCAUCAUUGGAGCCAGGGGCAACUCUCUCAAGCAAUUCUUCUUGAAUGCAAAUGAGAUACUCCAGUAUCCAAUUAAUAUUUUUAAAUUAAAGUUAUUUUAUUUAUUUAUUUUUGCUUAACUAACUAAUCACUUUCUGCUACUUGCAACCAAAUAACUGUAACUGAUACAAUCCAAUUUUCUGUCAAUCCCACUCUGAGUCUUGAACUUGCCGUUUCGUAUGAUACUUCUUGCCUUGCUUUUAUCCAAAUGCAGUUCUCUUUUCAUUGAUCAUUUUCUCUGCUGCUUUCUUCCCUCAAUUAACAAUGGCAAAGUUGGAGUACUUUAAUCUUGACCACAUUUUCCUUGGACUCACCAGCUAUUGACCUUCUCAGAUGACCAUGCAACAAUUAGAUGCUGGAGAGAAAAACCACACUUAGGUACUUAAGAGGGAUGAAUGGACUGGCCUAAAGCCAAAGGGAUGGUGAAAUUGCUAUUAAAUUAAUAAACUUCUCAAAUUGCCUCAGUUCCUCUGAGCACUAAGAAGGUACUAAAAGUCUGCCUCAAGCC